RNAcentral lists this ribosomal RNA (402 nucleotides) under bacterium. Its description in RNAcentral is "partial 16S ribosomal RNA". It matches the Rfam family "Bacterial small subunit ribosomal RNA", at positions 355 to 776 of the family's 1533-position model. The record is from RNAcentral.
UGGGGAAUUUUGCACAAUGGGGGAAACCCUGAUGCAGCGACGCCGCGUGAUUUAGAAGGCCUUCGGGUUGUAAAAAUCUUUUUUACGGGAUGAAAAUGACAGUACCGUAAGAAUAAGGUCCGGCUAAAUACGUGCCAGCAGCCGCGGUAAUACGUAUGGACCGAGCGUUGUCCGGAAUCAUUGGGCGUAAAGGGUACGUAGGCGGCCUAGUAAGUUAGAAGUGAAAUAAUAUAGCUCAACUAUAUAAAGCUUUUAAAACUGCUAGGCUUGAGAGUUGGAAGGGAAAGUGGAAUUCCUAGUGUAGCGGUGAAAUGCGCAGAUAUUAGGAAGAAUACCGGUGGCGAAGGCGACUUUCUGGUCAUCAUCUGACGCUGAGGUACGAAAGCGUGGGUAGCAAACAGG